AGGUUACUACACUUGGCAUGUGGAUACCACCCAAGCAGCCUGUGCAGGGGUUGGAGGCUCAAGCAAAAUAUUUGAUGGGUCUGAAUGAAAAUCUGAUGAAACAGAUGUUACUUGAAGCUGAGUGACUUUCUCAGGGUCAAGCAAAUAAGUAAAUGGAGGAGCCAGAAUUAUACCCCAGCUCAUUGCUUACCUUCUGACUCAGCUCUGAAAAACUAGCUCCACAUUUUUAACGCUGCCAAGAGCUCCCUUCUCUGUGGAUUCAUCUAAGACAACAGAUAUUAACACUAGGAUUGUGAUGGCAGUGGAGUCAGUACCAACUGACCCAAGUAUUCCUAGCCUGUGGAAUCUUUAGACUCACUUAAUUCAUUCAACAUAUACUUAUUAAGUGCCUACUGUGUCAUGAACUUCAGGGAUAUGAAAUUCUGCAAGAUAGUCUCUGCUUUUCAGUACCAGGAGCCCCAGAUAUUAUACUUAAUGUUUCAAAUAGUGGAUUCUGGGUUGCUUGAAAGUCAGUAGGCAGCCUUUUUGUCAUUAAAUUUCCUUUAUUGCUCUGAUGCAUUUUAUUUUAUAGUGACUCUGACUACUUCAGAUUGUUCACAAUAUUUUAAAACUUACGUUAUUAAGAUUGCUCAAUUCUGCUGUUCAAAAACUGUUAGUAAAAUGAUAAGGUUACCUUAUGGCUUUGAAUUUUAGGUGCUUUGGUAUCCAUGAUACAUACGUGUAUAUAUAGUCAUGCACCAUGCCACGACGUUGCAGUCAACUACAGACCACAUGUAUGAUAGUGCUCUCAUGAGAUUAUAAUGCCAUAUUUUUAUGGUCCUUUUUCUAUGUUUAGAAAUAUUUAGAUAUACAAAUAAUUACCAUUGUGUUACAGUUGCCUACAGUAUUCAAUACAGUCACAUGUUGUACAGAUUUAUAGCCUAAAAGCAAUAGGCUAUACCAUAUAGCCUAGGUGUGUAGUAGGCUAUACCACUGUUUAAGUCCACUCUAUGAUGUUCACGAAACAACAAAGCCAUCUAAUGACAUAUUUCUCAGAAUGUAUCCCCAUUGCUAAGCAACUCCUGAUUGUGUGUGUAUAUAUAUACGUGUGUGUGUGUAUAUGUGUUCCAAAAUCAAUUUUAUAAUUAAUAUUGGUCCUAAGUUCAGAAUUCAUUUCAACUGUUUAUGUUAAGAAUUACAUUUUGCUAGAUCAUAUGGUAGCUUUAUUUUUACUUUUUAAUUUUACUUUCUCAUAAUGGCUAUACUAAGUUAAAUUCCUGCCAACUGUGUGUAACCGUUCUCCUUUCUCUGUAUCCUUACCAGUGUUUGUUCUUUUUGUCUCUUUGAUAAUAACCAUUCUAACUGGGAUAAGUUGAUAUUUCCCAAUGGUUUUGAUAUGCAUUUCCCUGAUGAUUAGUGAUGCUGAACAUUUUUUCAUAUACCUGUUGGUCAUUUAUAUGUCUUCUGAUCCAAUAAUCCCACUACUGGGUAUAUAUCCAAAGGAAAAUAAAUCUGAAUGUGC
RNAcentral lists this long non-coding RNA (1501 nucleotides) under Homo sapiens (human). Its description in RNAcentral is "HSALNT0017348". Lineage: Eukaryota; Metazoa; Chordata; Mammalia; Primates; Hominidae. The record is from RNAcentral.